GUGAUUUAAUAUAGGGAAUAAGUUUUGUUGUGUUAAUUUGUGGUUUUAAGGUAAGUGUCCAGAAUUUCUAUCAGAUUUAAUUGCCUUGUGGCAUUUAUUCAUUCAGACCAAAUAUGGACACCUCUGAAAACCAUCUUGGAAUGCAAUUACAUUAAAGGCUAAGCUAUCAAACUCCUUGUAUUCUAAAUUUGUAACCAUGGUAAAGAUAGCACCAUACCUUUGUGUUCUCCCCCAAACACCACCAAUAUCUUAUUUUAACUUCUUUAUGGGGGAGGGAGUGCAAAUUGAUUUUAAGGAAACACAGAAAUGCAUUUUCAGAAUUUUUCUACAUGUGGGCUAAAGGGGGCAGUGCUUCCUCUCAUAAAGAUAAAGAGCUAAAAACAGUACUAUUCAUAUGUGAAAUAGAAGCCUCUGUGGAAGGAAAUGAAAGAAGUGCAGGAAGUUGAAGUCAGAUUUAUGGUUGUUUGGGCAGGAGAGAAGACAACCUGGGUCCACAGGAGAAAUGGGCAAGCUCCUGGGGGUAUCACUGUUGAUUCUGUGGCUUCAGCCAGACUGGGUGAAUAGUCAACAGAAUGCUGACCAGCAGCAAGUUAAGCAAACUCCAUCCCUGAGUGUGCAAGAACGAGAGAUUUCUAUUCUGAACUGUGACUACAAUAAUAAUAUGAUUACUUCAUAUGGUACAAAAAAUACCCUGCCAAAAGUCUUGAGUUUGUGAUAUCAAUACGUUCCAUUGUGGAUAAAAAGGAAGAUGAAAGAUUCACAGUCUACCUCAACGAAAGUGCCAAACACCUGUCUCUGCACAUCGCAGCCUCACAGCUUGGAGAUUCAGCCUUGUACUUCUGCGCAGCGAAUGCACAGUGCUCUCCAGGCACCUGCAACCUAUACACAAAACUGCAGCUGGGUCCAUGCCUCUUUGGGGGCUCAUACUUGGAGGCACGUACUUGCUUCCACUUAAACAGAGCAGUAAGAGAGGGUAUGCUUUAAAGUAGGUGAGUGGGAUGAGCUUUAAGGAAGAUCAGAUACAUAGUAAGUCCCUCAAAUGAGUUAAGGAUGUUCCUUGGGUUUUAGGGUGUCAAAGAGUUUAAUCAUUCUCCUUUUUCACUUUCAGAGAGAGGUUGCUGGUUUAACUAAAGCAUCAAUCUCUGGUGAUGCUUUGAUCCCGCUAGACCUUGGAAUGAGGAUACCAUUUCCCCUGUAGCUUAGGGGAAAAGAUACCCUGGAGAUGGGGAAACCAGGAUUCUACUGCAAGUUCUCCCAGUGAAUGUUUAUGUGCCUAUACGUACCAGCAAUCAUGUGCUUCAUUUUUGUGUUAAAUGAACAAAAUAAUCCCUAGUUAUUUCUUCUGAAUCACUGUGCCUUCACAUUAAAUGCAUUUCAGGAUGUAUAUGUUUUAAGUUACAUGCAUUUAUUUGUUUCAUCGCUCACAAGAUACUUCUAGGCAUUGCUUCAGUGAAUCACUUACUGUGUAUUCUUAUCCCCAGGCA
This is a non-coding RNA of Panthera uncia (snow leopard), 1484 nucleotides long. Lineage: Eukaryota; Metazoa; Chordata; Mammalia; Carnivora; Felidae. The record is from the annotation of a RefSeq genome assembly.